This 459-nucleotide ribosomal RNA is filed under the name uncultured bacterium. RNAcentral's name for it is "partial 16S ribosomal RNA". It matches the Rfam family "Bacterial small subunit ribosomal RNA", at positions 338 to 795 of the family's 1533-position model. The record is from RNAcentral.
CCUACGGGAGGCAGCAGUGAGGAAUAUUGGUCAAUGGACGAGAGUCUGAACCAGCCAAGUAGCGUGAAGGAUGACUGCCCUAUGGGUUGUAAACUUCUUUUAUAAAGGAAUAAAACGAGGCACGUGUGCCUUUUUGCAUGUACUUUAUGAAUAAGGAUCGGCUAACUCCGUGCCAGCAGCCGCGGUAAUACGGAGGAUCCGAGCGUUAUCCGGAUUUAUUGGGUUUAAAGGGUGCGUAGGCGGGCAUUUAAGCCGGCGGUCAAAUGUCGGGGCUCAACCCCGGCCUGCCGUCGGAACUGGGUGCCUUGAGUGGGCGAGAAGUAUGCGGAAUGCGUGGUGUAGCGGUGAAAUGCAUAGAUAUCACGCAGAACCCCGAUUGCGAAGGCAGCAUACCGGCGCCCUACUGACGCUGAGGCACGAAAGUGCGGGUAUCGAACAGGAUUAGAUACCCCAGUAGUC